AGGUCAUCUCAAAGAGGGCUUGUGGAGUUGUGAGACCAGGGGCUCUUAACGCUGUGACCUAAGAUGAAAGUUCUCCACAGAACGCCACAGUCACUCGGUAGUGUGCUGUUUUUUUCCUGAGGAGAUACAAGA
Molecule: small nucleolar RNA, 132 nt
Organism: Loxodonta africana (African savanna elephant)
Lineage: Eukaryota; Metazoa; Chordata; Mammalia; Proboscidea; Elephantidae
Gene: SNORA25
Product: small nucleolar RNA SNORA25
Source: Ensembl